CCGCGCGGGGCGCUCCGGGAUGCCGGGCUGUGGCGCGGCGCCGGCGGGACGCGCCGCUGGCCCGGGGCUUGGCGGGCAGUAUGACCUGUCAGCUUCCACGUUUUCUCCAGAUGGCAGAGUAUUUCAGGUUGAAUAUGCUAUGAAAGCUGUGGAGAAUAGUAGUACAGCAAUUGGGAUAAGGUGUAAAGAUGGAGUUGUCUUUGGAGUAGAAAAACUAGUUCUGUCCAAGCUUUAUGAAGAGGGUUCCAAUAAGCGUCUCUUUAAUGUUGAUCGACAUGUUGGAAUGGCAGUAGCAGGACUUCUGGCAGAUGCUCGUUCUUUGGCGGACAUAGCUAGAGAAGAAGCUUCUAACUUUAGAUCUAACUAUGGCUAUGAUAUUCCAUUAAAGCAUCUUGCAGACAGAGUGGCCAUGUAUGUGCAUGCGUACACGCUAUACAGUGCUGUCAGACCUUUUGGUUGCAGUUUCAUGUUGGGGUCUUAUGAUAAAGAUGACGGUGCACAACUGUACAUGAUUGAUCCAUCAGGUGUUUCAUACGGUUAUUGGGGAUGUGCUAUUGGUAAAGCCAGGCAGGCUGCAAAAACGGAGAUUGAAAAGCUGCAGAUGAAGGAAAUGACCUGCCGUGAUGUUGUUAAAGAGGUUGCAAAAAUAAUCUACAUAGUUCAUGAUGAAGUAAAGGAUAAAGCUUUUGAACUGGAACUCAGCUGGGUUGGAGAAAUAACCAAUGGAAAACAUGAAAUUGUUCCCAAAGAUAUCAGAGAAGAAGCAGAAAAAUAUGCCAAGGAAUCUUUGAAAGAGGAGGAUGAAUCAGAUGAUGACAAUAUGUAACAUAUUGUUACUUCAAGACAAGUUCAACUUUUCUUAACUUAGUACAGGAUAUGCAAAACCAGAAAGAUUCACCUGUUGUAAAUGCUGCCUCCCUCUCUGGUCUUAAGACAUAUCCAGGAUAAAGUCAAAGGGUCCAGCCAUCACCCGAAUUUCAGAAUUACAUGUGACCGAAGAUCAGUUAUAUGCUUAGAGUAAUUUGAUGGGUUUUUUUUUUUUUUUUUUUAAGUAGUCUUGUGUUAAUUUGCAGAUUAAGAUAUUCCAAGGUGAGUCUUCUAUACAGCAUAUAUAUGACUUUCGGUAUUAGUAACACAUGAUAAAAGUACUGCUGCUUUGAACAAUGUUAAGUAUUUGUUGUUAAUCUUUUUACAGAGGAGUAGAUAAUAAAAUGACUUCCUAGGA
Molecule: RNA transcript, 1225 nt
Organism: Rhea pennata
Lineage: Eukaryota; Metazoa; Chordata; Aves; Rheiformes; Rheidae
Gene: PSMA3
Gene name: proteasome 20S subunit alpha 3
Exons: 13
Source: RefSeq, a predicted model, not a curated record